Molecule: ribosomal RNA, 253 nt
Filed under: uncultured bacterium
Lineage: Bacteria
Description: partial 16S ribosomal RNA
Rfam family: Bacterial small subunit ribosomal RNA
Source: RNAcentral
UACGAAAAAAGCUAGCGUUGUUCGGAAUUACUGAGCAUAAAGCGCGUGUAGACGGAUUUUUAAGUCAAAGAUGAAAUCCCAGAGCUCAACUCUGGAACUGCCUUCGAUACUGGGAAUCUGGAGCAAAAUAGAGGCGGAUGGAAUUGCGAGUGUAGAGGUGAAAUUCGUAGAUAUUCGCAGGAACACCAAUGACGAAGGCGACUCGCUGGAUCUUUGCUGACGCUGAGACGCGAAAGCGUAAGUAGCAAACAGG